This 248-nucleotide small RNA is filed under the name Catenulispora acidiphila DSM 44928. RNAcentral describes it as "Actinobacteria sRNA Ms_IGR-5". It matches the Rfam family "Actinobacteria sRNA Ms_IGR-5". The record is from Rfam by way of RNAcentral. Lineage: Bacteria; Bacillati; Actinomycetota; Actinomycetes; Catenulisporales; Catenulisporaceae.
ACACACGAAAGGAGGUGAUCCUGAGUUGAGUUGUACCAGGACGCGUGAGGUGGCAGUCAGCUAGCCGCCCCGCCCGCGAACGGGACCGGAAGGUCCUGCCCGGCAGGUCCGGGGCGGCGGGCUAAUCUCCGACAGUCACCCAGCCCGCGAGCUCACCGGUCAGUCCCCGGUGCCUGGUCGAGGGCGCCCGAAGCGGCUCAGUGCCGUCGCGGGUGUUCCGGCAGGAAGCAGCUCGCGGGCUGCCUGUU